GAGUGAUAAGCUUUCUCGAAGGAUUAAGCCAUGCAAGCUCAGCAAAGAGGUAUCCUCGGAGCCGCAAACGGCUCCUUAAAACGGUCGUAACCCACCCGACAAGACUAAUAAUGGUCACGUCAUUUUGCACAAAGGAACUCGUUUCCUAAACGCACUAUAACCAAAACUCGUGGCCUCCCCCGCGGAUAACCGGGAUUAAAGGAAACCUGCGGCUAAUACGUAAUGCGCCUAGCGCUGCCGAUGGGCCCCUCUGCUGCAAGGACCCAUCGGUCGCAUCCAACGCUCAGGAGCGGACGAUCACCCGAUCCCAUCUUGGUUCGCCAAGGGAAGCAGCCUCCCCUUAGGAAGCGGCGUCCGUACUCCGUCGGGAAGAGCGGCGUUGGGGCAUGCGAUGGAGUUAUGAGGAGUUCUCUCUGACUAGACAUGUUUCUAAAAAAAAUUGUUAAAGUUUACAUAAGUGAAACUAGGUGAAAGAAAAAUGAACAUUUGUUCAAAUCUAGAUCCUUCGCUGAAUGUGCUUUUUCAUAAAAAAGAUCAUAUCGAUAUAAAGUUGAGAGUUCUCCCCCUCCACGAGUCGGAAGGGCGGCCGACCUAUCAGCCAGGCGGUAGGGUAACGGCCUACCGCGGCAGUGACGGGUAACGGGGAACUAGGGUUCGGUUCCCGGAGAAGGGGCAUUAGAUACGGCCCCUGUACUUACGGGUAACAGCAGGCGCGUAACUUGGCCAUUGAUUGCAAAUCGAGCCAGCGACUGAGUGUAACGAGGCCGGCAUUUAAACCGGUCGUCGCAAUGAGGGGCAACUGAAUGUCGCCCUGAGAAACUAUUGGAGGACAAGUUGGGUGCCAGCACCCGCGGUAACACCCACUCCGAAAGCUUAUACUUUUGCUGUUGCUGUUAAAGCGCUCGCAGUCCAAACAACGACACAGCUGAGAGGGACAAGGUUUAGACGAGAAUUUAUUCUCUGACAAAACCCCCCCUACUCUUUUUCAUCGCCCGACCAGGCAUAAAUGGCUUCGCUCAAACGCAAGGUCAGUUUAGGCUUCGGCCGCUAUGCCACCCACCAGCAUCCUGGAAUUGGGCUUUAAAAAAACAAAAAACAACACUUUACCAAGUGCGACGCUCAAGUCUCAUUCUUUACCAAGUAUGAACAAUAUCCUAAGAUGCAAGUCAGAGUGAAAACUCAUGUUCUUCAUUAAGGGAAUAAAAACAUUGUGAACUACAUAAAAGUAUUUUUUGAGAUCAAACUUGAGUUAGUCUUCACACUAAUAAAGAACACACGAUUACUAGGUGCGUACGGGGUAGAGAGUGUGGUAUCAGCGAGGAGUGAAAUCUUUUGACCUGAUCCAAACUACCCGAAGCGAAGGCGCUCUGCAAGGGCGUGGCCGGUGAUCUAGAACGAUGGUGGAGGGAGCGAAGCGGAUUAGAGACCCGUGUAGUCUCCACAGUAAACGAUGCCGACUGAAUGGGCGCCGGGCAAACCAAGGCUCGGGGCCCGUUCCCACGGGAAACCGAAGUAAUCGGGCCCAGGGGGGAAGUAUGGUCGCAAGGCUGAAACUUAAAGGCAUUGACGGAGCAACACCACCAGGCUCUGGAGGCUGCGGCUCAAUUUGACUCAACGCGCGACAACUUACCGGGAUCGGACGCUCUAAGGGGACGAACAGACUGAAGGGUCUUUUCCGAGUUAGCUAACGGUGGUGCAUGGUCGUUUUAGGCUCGUGGACUUAUCUGUCAGGUUUAUUCCGAUAACGGGCGAGAUCGCUACUGUCACAUUGAUUCCCCCGCCUCGUGCGGGACCCCUGUGCAGGACUGACGGCGAAAAGUCGUAAGAAGCGGCGGCUAUAACAGAUCCGGGAUGCCCCCAGAUAUUCCGGGCCGCACGCGGCCUACACUGCUUAGUUCAACGGGUUCCUGGGCCGAACAGGCAUCCGGGCAAGCCCUGAAACCGCCAGAACACUUCUUCACGACAGCGAGUUAAACCUCAGAUUUUAUUAUCUAAAUACGACUACACUUAAACGCACCUUCGGAAACUACCACCUUCAUAACAAAAGUCUGUCCUGAACCUAAUAUAAAGAGUUAACCCCCUCGUCGAGGCUUUUAGGAAGUUAAAUUCCUUUAAUGUUAAGAUGAGAAGCGCUGUUAGAUGAAAACUUACAUCUUUGGACUCGUUUCCUUAGUGUAACAUUGAAAGAGCUGUGGAUCGUUUCAAAUUAACAAACAAGGUUUCUUCUUCACUUAAAUGCUUUGACUUGGAAGAUUAUAUCUUUACCAAGGCAAACUUUAUUAUGAAGCAAGUUUCUGCAAUGUUCAUAAAAAAUACAUGAAAGCGCACCGUGUGGUCUAUUUUGGAUGUUAAGUGUGCUCAAUGCUGCUUCUCCGAAAAGACACAUGCGUGCUUAGGGACUGGUUGCUGUAACUGUAGCCACGAACGCGGAAUGCCUCGUACAGGUGUGUCAUCAACGCACCUGGAAUCUU
RNAcentral lists this ribosomal RNA (2471 nucleotides) under Trichosphaerium sp. ATCC 40318. RNAcentral describes it as "partial 18S ribosomal RNA". The stretch from base 1 to 2108 matches the Rfam family "Eukaryotic small subunit ribosomal RNA". The record is from RNAcentral. Lineage: Eukaryota; Discosea; Flabellinia; Trichosidae.